This 457-nucleotide ribosomal RNA is filed under the name uncultured bacterium. RNAcentral's name for it is "bacterial SSU rRNA". It matches the Rfam family "Bacterial small subunit ribosomal RNA", at positions 340 to 789 of the family's 1533-position model. The record is from RNAcentral.
UACGGGAGGCAGCAGUGGGGAAUAUUGCACAAUGGGCGCAAGCCUGAUGCAGCCAUGCCGCGUGUAUGAAAAAGGCCUUCGGGUUGUAAAGUACUUUCAGUCGUGAGGAAGGUGUUAAGGUUAAUAACCUUAGCAAUUGACGUUAGCGACAGAAGAAGCACCGGCUAACUCCGUGCCAGCAGUCGCGGUAAUACGGAGGGUGCGAGCGUUAAUCGGAAUUACUGGGCGUAAAGGGCACGCAGGCGGUUAAUUAAGUUGGAUGUGAAAUCCCCGGGCUUAACCUGGGAAUGGCAUUCAAGACUGGUUAGCUAGAGUCUUGUAGAGGGGGUAGAAUUCCAUGUGUAGCGGUGAAAUGCGUAGAGAUGUGGAGGAAUACCGGUGGCGAAGGCGGCCCCUGGACAAAGACUGACGCUCAUGUGCGAAAGCGUGGGGAGCAAACGAGGGAUUAGAUACCCGU